Molecule: long non-coding RNA, 1027 nt
Filed under: Homo sapiens (human)
Lineage: Eukaryota; Metazoa; Chordata; Mammalia; Primates; Hominidae
Description: HSALNT0238617
Source: RNAcentral
AUAUUCAGGGCAAAAGUCACUGGAGGGCUGUGAGCCGGGGAGAGAUGUCAUCUGAUUGCAUUAAGAACAACAGCAGCGCAAGAUCACACCUGUUUGCCCUCAGAGCCCUACUCCGUGCCUCUUCAGCCCCCACUGUCCCCAGCCCUUGGGUCAGACAACCUUGAAUUUGACACUUUCACCCCAGGUUGUAUGACCUUGAAGAUGUCACUGCACCUCUCAGAGACUCAGUUUCCUCAUCUGCAAAUUGGGGCAGGAUCUGGCAGGAUUGCAGGUGGUUUCAACAGAACCCUGCAGCAUGGAACAGGCUGGCACACAGUAGGUACUCCAUGAAUAAUGCUGUCCCCCUGGUCCCUGCCUCCACUGCCUCCUCUUGGGCCAAACCCAAGUUUAUUCUGCUUCCUAUAGUUGCCUUCAACUACAAUCUGUCCCCGUGGGGUCCCUCAGGAUGCACAUCCAUGGCAGAGCUGGGCUUGCCCUUAAACCUUGGGCUAGGAGGCUGGAGGCAUCUGUCCUGGGACUCUGAGAUUUCACAGGCUGUGCUUGUAAGUGGGCACAGACCUGCCGUCUUGGAGUCCUGGAGCCCUGAUUGGAGCUAGGGCAGAGCCUGGCCAGGUACCCAGACCCCCUCCUGGGGCCCACUUGGUCCCUUCUGUCUGUGGAUGACUUUCAGCGAGUCACCACGUCCCUCACGGUUUGGUUGCUGUGAAGUGGAGCGGAGGGGUCAAGGUUGCUUGCGUGAGUGCAAAGCCAGCCAGCUGAGGCUGGUGUUCCUCAGGAGCAUCCAUCCAGCCGAGAGAGGAGACUUGGAAGUGUAUAUCCUGCGCCAUCUCCAAGGGAUGGAGCUCCAGUUGCACCCAGCGGUAGCUCUGUUGAUGACAUGGCCUUGGUUGGCUCUUCCCUGUCUCACUUCUCCACUUCCCUAUGGGUAUUUCCUAGGAUUUACUUGAGUCCAAAGCUUCUCAGUGUCUGAGAGUGUACUGGGAGAACCCAAGGAGACAGCGCCUCUGAGAAUCAUGGUGGGGAGAAC